This 616-nucleotide ribosomal RNA is filed under the name Enterobacter cloacae. RNAcentral's name for it is "bacterial SSU rRNA". It matches the Rfam family "Bacterial small subunit ribosomal RNA", at positions 545 to 1161 of the family's 1533-position model. The record is from RNAcentral. Lineage: Bacteria; Pseudomonadati; Pseudomonadota; Gammaproteobacteria; Enterobacterales; Enterobacteriaceae.
UCGGGAUUACUGGGGCGUAAGCGCACGCAGGCGGUCUGUCAAGUCGGAUGUGAAAUCCCCGCGCUUAACCUGGGAACUGCAUUCGAAACUGGCAGGCUAGAGUCUUGUAGAGGGGGGUAGAAUUCCAGGUGUAGCGGUGAAAUGCGUAGAGAUCUGGAGGAAUACCGGUGGCGAAGGCGGCCCCCUGGACAAAGACUGACGCUCAGGUGCGAAAGCGUGGGGAGCAAACAGGAUUAGAUACCCUGGUAGUCCACGCCGUAAACGAUGUCGAUUUGGAGGUUGUGCCCUUGAGGCGUGGCUUCCGGAGCUAACGCGUUAAAUCGACCGCCUGGGGAGUACGGCCGCAAGGUUAAAACUCAAAUGAAUUGACGGGGGCCCGCACAAGCGGUGGAGCAUGUGGUUUAAUUCGAUGCAACGCGAAGAACCUUACCUGGUCUUGACAUGCAGAGAACUUUCCAGAGAUGGAUUGGUGCCUUCGGGAACUGUGAGACAGGUGCUGCAUGGCUGUCGUCAGCUCGUGUUGUGAAAUGUUGGGUUAAGUCCCGCAACGAGCGCAACCCUUAUCCUUUGUUGCCAGCGGUUAGGCCGGGAACUCAAAGGAGACUGCCAGUGAUAA